AUACGGAGGGUCCGAGCGUUAAUCGGAAUUACUGGGCGUAAAGCGCGCGUAGGCGGCUAUAUAAGUCAGAUGUGAAAUCCCUGGGCUCAACCUAGGAACUGCAUUUGAAACUGUAUGGCUAGAGUAUGGUAGAGGUGAGUGGAAUUUCAGGUGUAGCGGUGAAAUGCGUAGAGAUCUGAAGGAACAUCAGUGGCGAAGGCGACUCACUGGGCCAUUACUGACGCUGAGGUGCGAAAGCGUGGGUAGCAAUCAGGAUUAGAUACCCUAGUAGUCC
Molecule: ribosomal RNA, 274 nt
Filed under: uncultured bacterium
Lineage: Bacteria
Description: partial 16S ribosomal RNA
Rfam family: Bacterial small subunit ribosomal RNA
Source: RNAcentral